Labrus bergylta (ballan wrasse) is the source of this 1640-nucleotide non-coding RNA. Lineage: Eukaryota; Metazoa; Chordata; Actinopteri; Labriformes; Labridae. The record is from RefSeq and is a predicted model, not a curated record.
UUUACAUAAUUAUCCACAAUGUGUUAUGUAUUUUAUAUUGAAGGGACACGCAUUAGAAAUUAGUAUUAGUUAUAAAUACUGCUGUGAAGAGCAUUUGAAAAUUGUCCUUCAGUUCUCCAUGUAUACCGCAUCUGUCCCUGCAUAAUAAACCAGAGAAAAGAAGAAUUCAAACUUUUGUAGUGAUGGUGAAAAUAUUUUCGAAAUGGCUGCUGGAGUCAAAGCAAAGUGUGAUCUGUCUCUGCAGCAGCUGACCUCAGUGGGGUGUCCUGGAUGAUGACGUUGACUCCAGCCAUCACCAUUCUCUCCUCCUUCAUCUCCUUAGUGUUGGUGUUUCACUUCAGUCAGAGAACAGAAUCUCCAGUGGUGAAGGAAAGAACUGACACCAGAGAAAUAUCAGCUCAGGAUGAAAACAUGUGUUUAACACGAGUCGUGUUCCGGCUGCAGGAUUGACAAACACACCAGUAAACUGCAGACGAAGCUCAAGAGCACGUUGACUUCUUCUAUUCUUUUUUGAUUGUUUUUCUCACAGGCAAUAUGUAAUGAGCUAUCAGAUCAUAAUAGUUUCUGUCCAUGUUGACUGAUGUAGAUUAGUUCUGGGCAAUAAAAAUGGUCACAUCUUAUUAGUCACAUGCAUUUUCAUCACAAUAUUAUGGGUAAAGUUUGCAUUGCAGCAAGCACACAUCGGACAUGUUGCUGCAGGAGCUGGGGAUCGAACACCAAACUUUCCGGAUGAGAGACGACCGACUCUACCAACUGAGCCACCAACUUCCCAAAUCUGGAUUUUGGAUCAUCCGAGGAAUUCUUAAGUCCUGACUAUACCCAAGAGACCUCAAGUGUUGAAAAAUGUCAGAAGAAAGAGCAGAAAAAACUACAAUUCCUCUAGUGUCCACUUGAGUCUGGCUGCUAAAGCUCGUUAAGUCAUAUACACACACAGUUAUUGUUAAAAUGCCUUUAUUGACGGGAGAAAUCAAUAAUUUUAUGGGUGACCUCACUAAGACUAUGUCCUUGUUUUAUACGGUCUAUGUGUAUACCCAGAGGUUGCAAAUAUCCAGAGGGAGCAUGUGCUAAGAUCUAUGAACCACAUUGGUUACGGGCUUCCUGCUCCACUUACAACAUAUUCAAAUUAAUCUUAUUGGGGCGCCGGUGGCUUAUUGACUAGUUUGCACGCUCCAUGUAAAGAGGCUGUCAUCCACGCUACCGUCCUGCUAGUCAUUCCCCUCUCUCUCUCUCUCUCUCUCUCUCUCUUUCUGUCUCACCUUGAUAACUCUAUCCACUGUCCUGUCUCUUUCAAUAAAGGCACAAAAAGCCCCAAAAAUCAAUGAUUUUUUUGGGGGGGUAUUUUUAAAUUAGCAUUGUUAGCUUUAAAAAGGUAAUCGUAUCUCAUCUCACUAUUACUGUUUGAUGAAACAACCUUAAAGAUGUUAUUUUGAUUUAAAAUGUAAUUUGGAGCACAAAAACUUCAACGUUAAGAAGAUACGUUGCUACUAAUUUUGUAUUUUCCUCCAUGUGGUAAAUGGGACAAAAGUUUUUAAUCUUAUCAUUUUGCCUGUACGUCAUCAGAUCAUUAUUCUUUUUUUAUUUUUCCUAUUGACAUAGAGAAAAUCCUGUGAUCAUAUUUUAUGUAAUAAAUCAGAGUAAUC